GCCCCUCCUGCCGCUUCCUCUCUGAACCCGCUGUUGCUGCUGCAUCUUCCUUCUUCCUCUCGACCUCCUGUUGCUCUUCUCCAAGCACCGCUGCUGCUCCUUCCUUGCAACCCCCCUGCUGUUGUUCAUCCUCUCCACCUCCUUGCGCCUCCCUGCCGGUACCCUUCUCUGCUCAAAACUGCUGCUGCUUGUGCACUCCAGCUUCUCCUUCUUCUCCUGCCUACUGCUGGUUCUUCUUCCCCACAUCACUUUUGCUGCUCCUCUUCUCUGCCUCGCUACUGUUCUUCUUACCUGAACCUCAAAAUUGCUGCUGUUCUCUUCUAAACAACAAAACUGCUGCUACUACUACCUCAACCUCCUAUUGCUUUCUUUCUUUCUCACUCUCUUUUAAAUUUCUGUAAGAUUGAGACGCAUGUGAUUUGUAUUAUUCAGAUUUGAUAAGUGUUAGUAAUCUACUGUUGUUCAGUUCAGACUUCCUGUGUGUGUUAAUUAGUUAAAAUUGUCACUUGUGUACUGCUUGUUGCAGAUUCUUGCUCAUUUUUGUUGUCUAUGUGUUAGCUCAUGCAUCUGAGAAUUAUAAAGACAUAUGUGUGUGUGGUUGAUGUGAAACAAUUAUAUAUAUGUCUCAUGUUUGUUAGUUAGUGGUUUGUAUAAAUUCAGAUUACUACUUGUGAUUUAAUUUUGUAUUGAAAUUGUUCUCUGUGGUAGUCAGUUGUGUGAUCAUUCAAUUUUCAGUCUAUGUAUUAGCUCUGUACCUGUAAUAUAUGUUGUGACAUGAAGCAUUUUCAUCCUUGUCCAUUAUCUUGUUUCUUCACUCUGUCAUACGCUUGUUAGAUAAAUAUAUGUGUUCAUGUCCUGUUGUUCCCUUUUGUGUUAGCAUUUUAGUUUCUCAAGUAACAGGAAAACACCAAAAAAGACAAUAUAGACAAUCUGAACCUCCCCUUUGCUUAUUUUACAUUUUCUUUGGCGACGAUCUUCGGGAACUACCUUGUUAGUUUAGGUUUAUUUUCUUGCAUUUAUAAUCUGAGUUCUGUCACCUAGCUUUAGCCGAGCAUUGUUGCUGUCGCCUAGUCCCUGUGGAGAACACGACACUCACAGUUCGGGUGAAAUAUCCCGCAGUACUUUCAAUCGAUCAUUUUGGCGCCGUUGCCGGGGACUAGCGUCGUGUGACCGUGUUAGGCUAUAGACUAGGUUUUGCUUCUGUUUCUAUCUGGUGCCAUAUAUUUGUGAUAUAUCUCUUACCCCUAACCACUGUUCUAGUUAUCUUCUCUUUCUUUUCUUGUUCAUUUUGUAGGUUGAAUUGUCUUCUCGGAUAUGGCUUACUAUUCAGAUCAUCAUGCUUAUGCGAGCAACACUACAAACAACACGGAAAGUAUUCAAGAACUGAUAAGUAAGAUUUCCCAUCAAUUAGAUGAUUUAGCUCAGCAGCGAGGAGUAGUUUUUGAGGAUAGGCCUAGUUCUUAUUAUCCUUAUUCCGGAAGCAAUCCUUAUGUUGCUCCUACAUGCCAUAUUUGUGGAUUUCAGGGCCAUUCGCCCGCUGAAUGUCAGCGUGGUUACUCUCACACUCCAGAUUGUUUUGGCAUGAGCUUCGCUCAAGAGCAUAGCUCAUACCAAAACAAUUACUCACAUGGGUGUCCUGAAAACCCGAAUAUGUCAUAUAGGAGCAACAACCCCGAGAUCUCACCGCUUGCUUCUAGUAAUCAUAUGCAGGGAUUUAGGUAUGAAGAGGAGAGCCACAGCUAUGCUCCACAACAGUCUUAUUCAGCUCCUAUUCAUAUACCUCAGCACGAGGAGAUGUUGCCAAUGGAGUUAAAUGGUCCUCCAUUUGGUCAACCAACACCUUCAACACAAGUGCCUACUCAAGAUGAGUUUGAUGACAUAGACAAGUUCACACUUUUGAGUCUUGAGUUCAGUUGGAGUGCCGAGGAUGAUCCUAUUAGGAAGGUUAUACUAGAUGAAAUGAAGAAGAUCAAGAGUGGGAAUGAGCUAGUGGAAGAAGUAAAGAAGAUUGAGAAGAACAUCAACGCUGGCAGCUCUAUUUCUUCACAGCUAGAGCUGAGUGUUGCUGAGAUUCCCCUUGAUACAUGUGAGGUUCCAACACCUUCACAUUUCGUUGAGCAAGUUAGCAAGUGCCUUGAGCAAGAGAUACCUCAGAUUGAAGAAGAUGAACUAGAAGACAAGGACCAAGAUGGUCAAGAGCUGCAAUUCCCAAGUGAUCAAGUUGAAGACUCAUCAUCUACUACUGAAGAACUACAAGAAGCUGCUGUAGAUAAAGAUGAAGAUCAUGAGAUUCAUUUGCCUAUUGUCAUACCAGAGCGUGAUGUGUCAGGUUUACUCAAUCCUCUUGAUGACAUGAUGCCUUGUGAUUUCUUUGCUACUACCUUGCUUUACAUGAUACUAUCACUUAAGAUUGAUUUGAAAACUCAUUUGCUUGGAUAUGAUGAUAUAUACCCUGUUAGUGGUAUUACUCUCAUUUGUGAUGAUCAUAGUUACUUUCCUCGUGCUAAUCCUAUGCUUAAUGAAACAUAUCACUCCCAUGCUAGUCUUGCACUUAAUGAUAAAUGUCAUCCUCGUGUGAGUAUUGACCAUGCUGAUUUCUGCCAUCCUAAACAUGUGCUUUAUAGUUAUGCUUAUAUAAUUGGAUAUUCCAUUGAUGACUUGGAGGGCAUCGACCGUAUCACUUGUAGUUGUUUGUGUGAGUCCUAUUUCAGGCUUUUGCUACUGCACUGUUUACUACAUGCUGACCAGGUUUGAGGUGACAUUCCUUGGGAUCCUGGUGGAGUCACAGCAUGGCGAUGAGGGGAGCACAAACAGGGAACACAAACAGAGAAGAGUGGAGAGAAGAAAGUAGGAGAGAAGAGUAUACAAAUACCAGGUGAUUCUGUUCCACUUGAAGCAACCUUUAGAAAAUUUAGUACGAGAACUGGCAUUUUAUUGCAUUGAAACGCUUUUUGCAUUGUGACACCUUACUCUUCACUGCAAAGUAGGAUUCACUCCAAGAAGAUUGUUGAUUCUCUUAAUACUAAAACUAUGCAGCAGUAUUCUUCUUAUGGUAAUUUGUGAUAAUGAAUACUUUAUACCUCCAUGUAAAUGUUCAAUGGGAAUGCCUUGAGUCUAAGUGAAACCUACUAAUGAAUUGAUGUGCUGUGUCUGACUGUCCCACGUUAAGCUAAGUAACUGGUGGCACUUAAGUAGUAGCUAUGAUCUCUGGAUCUGUAGUAUGUGAAAAACAGUGCCAUUAGUUAUGGAUUCCUCUUUCAAUUAUUCCUGUUUUACUUAAGCUAAGUAAUUUUCAAAUAACUAAAUAAAAUAAUUAUAAUAUUUUAAGUCCGAUCGACCUAUAGUAGCAUGUCAUGUUCCCUGGAUCGGUGGCUUGUGAAAUCUGGUAGAUUGGACUCUAAAAAAAAAUUAUAUAAAAAUGCUAUAAUUUGUCGAACCAGGUGUAUACCAUGUUCUCGGGAUCGGUGGUAUGUUCCUUUGGGGAGAUAACAAAAAAAUAUACUAAUAAUUUGGUCGAGCCAGGUGUAUACCAUGUUCUCGGGAUCGGUGGUAUGUUCCUUUGGUGAGACUGAUAUAAUAUCAUCACUUGUGCUUUAAAUUCAAUAAGUAACUUGUUUUUCUAAUUGAUUUUGGGGUCCCAGCUUAUCUCAGGGCUGAAGACAGAGCCAGCUCUUGAUUAUUAGUAUUCACUUUGACUCAAGGCCAUUGACUUGGAACAUUUACAGUGUGUUAUAAAAUAUUUCUUAUCACAAUUUAGCUUCAGUAGAGUACAUUUGCUUAGUUCCAGUAUUGUCGGAAUUACUAUCUAUCGGAAAGUGCAUAUUUACUAGGCAGUGUGAGUUGUGUCACCAUCAAAUUUUUUUUCCUUUGCUCGAGGACAAGCAAAGAUUUAAGUGUGGGGGAACUUGAUAAGCACAUUUCUUAUAUACUAUUUGGGCACACAAAUUCACCUUUUAUUGAGAUAUAUCCAUCCAUUCUUGCUAUGACUUGUUGAAUAUUUGAAUGAUAACCAUAAAAGAGAAUGUUGACUAGUGAAUUGUUUAUUUUGCAGAAAAGUGCGCAAAUGCACUAUAAUCGUCAAGACUUCUACUAUGUGGCUAACGAGAAGAGAGAAGGGCAUGAAAGAAAUACGUCAAGGCUUGAGCGUGAAGGAAAGAAGUAAUGUAGGGGAGCAAACUAAAAGAAGAGGAGGAUCUUCUUGGGAAGAAAGAAGAAAGGAGGAGGGCCAAAGUAAAAAAAGACAAAACAGAGGAGGGGAUCAAAAAUCCCUAGCGCAGCCGAUCCCCAUCAGGCCUCGCAUCUCACCUCUCUCCCUCACCCCUCCUUCUCCACCACCGGCCGUCGCCGCGGCCAGGCCGGCGUGGCGGUGCGCCUGCUGCUCCUCCACUCAGCCACGAGCACCAUCCGCCGCACCAUCCAUCCAUCCCAGCCGCGCCGCGCCAUCCAUCCACCACUCCACCAGCGUCACCAGCUCCACUUCACCACCGCGCCUCCACCAGCGCCCACCUCGCGCGCCCCUCCUGCCGCUUCCUCUCUGAACCUGCUAUUGCUGCUGCAUCUUCCUUCUUCCUCUUGACCUCCUGUUGCUCUUCUCCAAGCACCGCUGCUGCUCCUUCCUUGCAACCCCCCUGUUGUUGUUCAUCCUCUCCACCUCCUUGCGCCUCCCUGCCGGUACCCUUCUCUGCUGAAAACUGCUGCUGCUUGUGCGCUCCAGCUGCUCCUUCUUCUCCUGCCUACUGCUAGUUCUUCUUCCCCACAUCACUUUUGCUGCUCCUCUUCUCUGCCUCGCUACUGUUCUUCUUACCUGAACCUCAAAAUUGUUGCUGUUCUCUUCUAAACAACAAAACUGCUGCUACUACUACCUCAACCUCCUGUUGCUUUCUUUCUUUCUCACUCUCUUUGAAAUUUCUGUAAGAUUGAGACGCAUAUGAUUUGUAUUAUUCAGAUUUGAUAAGUGUUAGUAAUCUACUGUUGUUCAGUUCAGACUUCCUGUGUGUGUUAAUUAGUUAAAAUUGUCACUUCUGUACUGCUUGUUGCAGAUUCUUGAUCAUUUUUGUUAUCUAUGUGUUAGCUCAUGCAUCUGAGAAUUAUAAAGACUGUGUGGUUGAUGUGAAACAAUUAUAUAUAUGUCUCCUGUUUGUUAGUUAGUGGUUUGUAUAAAUUCGGAUUACUACUUGUGAUUUAAUUUUGUAUUGAAAUUGUUCUCUGUGGUAGUCAGUUGUGUGAUCAUUCAAUUUUCAGUCUAUGUAUUAGCUCUGUACCUGUAAUAUAUGUUGUGACAUGAAGCAUUUUCAUCCUUGUCCAUUAUCUUGUUUCUUCACUCUGUCAUACGCUUGUUAGAUAAAUAUAUGUGUUCAUGUCCUGUUGUUCCCUUUUGUGUUAGCAUUUUAGUUUCUCAAGUAAUAGGAAAACACCAAAAAAGACAAUACAGACAAUCUGAACUUCCCCUUUGCUUAUUUUACAUUUUCUUUGGCGACGAUCUUCGGGAACUACCUUGUUUAGUUUAGGUUUAUUUUCUUGCAUUUAUAAUCUGAGUUCUGUCACCUAGCUUUAGCCGAGCAUUGUUGCUGUCGCCUAGUCCCUGUGGAGAACACGACACUCGUAGUUCGGGUGAAAUAUCCCGUUGUACUUUCAAUCGAUCAAGUCCAAGGGCCUCUAUAAAUAGGACUAGCCGCCACAGUAGAGAGGCAUCUGAUCCAGACUUUGGAAAGCCUAGAGAGAGAGAGGCGAUCGAACUCACCCGAGCAGUUCAUCGCAUCAGCCCUAGAACACCUCUCGCGAGGCUCUUCUCCCUUUGUACUGUUCAUCAUCAGCCCUUGAGGCAAUCCACCACACCACGCACUGGAGUAGGGUAUUACACCACAACGGUGGCCCGAACCAGUAUAAAUCUCGUGUCCCUUGUCUUGUUCAUCGUUUCCAGCUUAGAUCUCAUGAGGCGAUCGGACAUAGAUCGGUAGGGGAGAGAUCUCCGUGUGCACCCCAGAGUUUGAACCUUAAGGGUCUGCCGGAACCCAACAUCCAACAGCAACAAUGUCCUCAGGCAUAAUCCUAUAUCCGCCCCUGGCAAUAGGAUCAAACAAAGCAGAUGCAUGCAAUGGAAUAAUAUCACGAGUGUCCACACUGAAAACUAGGUUAUAAGGAACGAGAAUGUCAGUGUUCUCGCCAUCAAUAAACUGGUGGUGUGCCAUAGCCUGAUGAUCUAAAUAAACCUUGGGUAAGGAUAAUCAUGCUGGCGUAUCUGAACGUUAAAGUGAUUCGCCAAGCGAGUAGCAUAAAUACCACCAUGUAUUUUACCCUUGGAUCUGUUAAUGUGGAGACGACGUGCCACAAUAGCUCCCAAUCUAUAAGUGUUGUCACCGUAAAGUGCACGACGUAAAACAACAAAGUCUGGAGCACUGAGUGCACCUACCUUCUCUCUAGCAAGUAAACACUUUGUAAUGAAUAGAGCAAAAUAAUGCACCGCAGGAAAGCGUAAACUAUUGUCAGUGACACUCGAUACCCCUCUUUCAUCCCCCACUGUCAGAGUACGGUAAAAACCAUCAAACUCCAUGGGCCUAGGCUCUACUAAACUACCAUCAGAAGGAAGCAUGCAUAUGUCAGAAAACUCAGUAAGUGGUAUCUGAUGGGGUUCAACAUAUAAGUUAAAAUGCACCCCAGGGGGGUUAUUCCUACUCAAGAAUUGAAAGCUUUGCAGAAAGGAAUUUGUGAGGAGAUGGUACUGUUCACAUUCAGCUACGAUGAAGUUGGUGAGGCCAGAAUUACUAGCAUAUUGUGCAAACUCCUGAAGGAUUCCGACCCCUUCCAUGAACGGGUUAUGCGGCCAUUCAUACAGCCAUACCUCCGCCUUUCUCCGGGUAUGGAGAUCACUUUCAGACGACUCCCCAGUAACUCCCUUGGAGUUCUUCUUCGAAGCAAACUUCCUAAAGAUACUCAUCUUUUUCCUAUGAAUAAAAUUAUGAAAUUUGUAGUCCACAAAAUUUUCUCAACAAAACUUCACAAAAUCAAAAGCAACUACUCAUAAGGAUGUAUAGAGGCCAUAGCAAGCAUUCAAACUACUUAGAACUCUAAGAAUUCAACAUGCAAGCUCAACUGCAGUAGCACCAAGAGUAACUAAUUAUUCAAAAUGUAAACCAGUAAAGCAAAAACUAAUUGGGCCAAUGGAGGAGUCACAUACCAAGCAACAAUUCCUCGAAACAGUUUCGGAAACGGAGCUUCGAGCAAAGAGAUCAAAAUCCGCGGGUUCGGGAGCAAGAACACGAGAGAGAGAGAGAGAGAGAGAGCAAUGGUGAUUUUUUUCUAGAGGUAGGUUGUGAUGUGGGAUGAAGAGAUAAGUGAGGGGGCCACAUGGGGACCACAACCCACCAGGGCGCGCCUGGGGGUCCUGGCGCGCCCAGGUGGCACUACUAGGAAAACGGCUAUAGCUAAUAUGGACAUUAAUGGCACACCAUGUAUGUGGUGCGCCACUGCUAUAUAGUAGUGGCGCACUAUCGGGGGUUGGGUGCAACAUAUGCCAAAGGAUGGCUUAUCAUGGUGGAGGCGAGUAGAACGUCGCCGGUGCCUGGAAACGGGAUGAGGCGAAGACAUGCACGCCGACGGAUCUUACCCAGCUUCAGGGCUCUCCGAGGAGAUAACACCCCUACUGCUGCUCUGCGGGGUCUCCGCAUGGUCACUAAGGCAAAGUGAGUACAAGGGUGCUCCUUGAGCUAUUUCUGGAGGUAGGAGAAGGCAAGGCUAGCUCUCUCCUUCCUAUGUGAUCUGGUCUAGUGCUAAUGGAUUCGAACCCUUUGCAUGGGUGCCCUGGGGGGUUUAUAUAGGCCUACCCCCCAGGGGUACAAUGGUAGGACGCGGGUCCUAGCCGUCAGUCUCUCAGGCCGCCGUCUUCUCCGCCGACUGCUGGGGCCCGCCGACUGGUGGGUCCCGCUGACUUGCCUGGUACGGAGCCGACAACCCUUGUCCGCCGCGGGCGGGUCUUGCCGGUUGCGGAUUACUGUAGCCGCGCUUCUAAUGACGCUGGCUUGGUCAUGGGGUCAUGGCAGCAGUGCCGCCGCCCGAUGGGCGAUCACUGUUGCCAUUCCCCGUCGCGUCUGGUUAAUGGCAUGGGGGGCCCGUGGGAGAGGCCAGCCGNNNNNNNNNNNNNNNNNNNNNNNNNNNNNNNNNNNNNNNNNNNNNNNNNNNNNNNNNNNNNNNNNNNNNNNNNNNNNNNNNNNNNNNNNNNNNNNNNNNNNNNNNNNNNNNNNNNNNNNNNNNNNNNNNNNNNNNNNNNNNNNNNNNNNNNNNNNNNNNNNNNNNNNNNNNNNNNNNNNNNNNNNNNNNNNNNNNNNNNNNNNNNNNNNNNNNNNNNNNNNNNNNNNNNNNNNNNNNNNNNNNNNNNNNGGGUCCGUCUUCUGGUGCUAUCGCCGUCUAUUGCACUCCUGCCGACCGGUGGGACCCGCCGUCUCUGGGUCGUAUAGACAAGCCGUCGUGGGUACAGGGCUCCACCCCCAGGGGCUGAUGUCAAGGCUCGCAUGGCAAUAGUGCCACGCCGGACGGAGAUCUCCGUCGGUACGGCACAUUGUGGCCAUGCUUGCCCUCGAUAAACGGGGCGGGAACGAGCCGCGCGGCAGCCAUUCCCCGUCCCGUCCAUUAUUGCGAAGGUACGAGGUGGUUGGAGUCGCGGGCCGACUCCCCAUAGCUGACUUCUCUAGAAGUCGCAGGCCAGGAGUCGGCUUAACUUGGAGUCGCCUCUGGGACUAGGCUUAUCUUGGAGUCGCCUCUGGACUCGGCUUAACUUGGAGUCGCCUCUGGGACUCGGCUUAUCUUGGAGUCGCCUAUGGACUCGGCUUAUCUUGGAGUCACCUCUGGGACUCGGCUUAUCUUGGAGUCGCCUCUGGGACUCGGCUUAUGUUGGAGUCGCCUCUAGGACUCGGCUUAUCUUGGAGUCGCCUCUGGGACUCGAGGGGCGCAGCCUGCCCCAAUGUCUUGAAAGGUUCUGGGACUCGGGUUAGCCUACUCGUGGCCCAUUACUCCGACAGUAGUCCCCGAAGCUAGUGAGGCUCCGAGGGUGAUACGUCGUGGGGCCUCAACAGUUUCAUUCUUCUGGUGGCGGAAUCUGGGCCUUGCUUGCCGUCUUCCUUCUGGCCGACUAUCUGGAGUCGGACUCGUAGAGGGCCGUCUUGCCCCCUAAGGAGUUUGAAAGUCACGGCGGGAACCAGGCGGCGUGCCUGAUACGCUUCCCCGUGGUUGCUUGCUGCAGACCCGUUGCGCGGCGCCACGCGGCAGGGACAGUCUGCCCACCCACGCGCGCGACGGGACAGGCCGUCAGGCGGGGCCUGCCACUACCGCUCCUCGGCACGCGAAGGGAUCCGUUGCGGCCGAGCGGACGGUUGGGGUUCCCACAUCGUUACUGUGCGCAGUAUCUUCGUGGGGUAAAUCGUGGGGGGCAUGGGGUCCCGUGCGUAGUUAAUCCCACGCCUGCCCCAUCGGCUUCUCAGCCUACGGGCCUAUAAGUAGGCGGGGGGUGCGGGACGGCGAAGCACGCGCGCCCAUUCUUCCCUGCUCCCCCGCUUCCUCUUGCCUCUUCUUCCUCUUGUCGUCGCCGCACCAAACCACGCCGCGCCCGCAGCGAUGAGCUCUUCCUCCGCCGCCGCGGCUCCUGCCAUGCGCUCCGGCUUGUGGGACGGCUCCGAGGUGGACGACGACCUCAUCGAGCUCCUCCGUAAGACGCGUCGGCUCCCCGGCGUGAACCUAGUGCAAGCCCGUGCCGCGCCAGCGAGGGAGAUAACACCGGCGCCGGAGGAGGGCGAGCGGGUCAUAUUCCGCUCGCACCUCAUGCGCGGCCUAGGGCUGCCGGCGAGCGGUUUCUUGCGCUCCUUCUUGGAGUUCAACGGGCUCCAGCCGCACCACCUUACUCCGAACACGGUGGUGCUGCUGGCCACCUUCGCCACCCUGUGCGAGGGUUUUCUUGGCGUUCUCCCCACCAUCGAGCUGUGGGGAGAAUUCUUCCAAUCCAAGCUCGGCACGCACGUCGCCAGCGUGCCGGCCCAGUCCGGCGCCUUCAUCGCAAUGCGGAGAACGGCAGCCGACAAUCCGUUCCCCGCCAUCCCGCUGAUCAAGUCGGUGAAGAUGUGGCAGCGGUCAUAUUUUUACGUGAAGAACGUCGCCCCAGAAGGCGACUGGGUUAAUCUGCCGCACUACGAAGCCGGCGCGCCGGAUGGGAGGCUCCCCAGCUGGUCCCACUGGGCCAAGACGCUGACACCCGCAGGCGCCGCCGCCGUCGCGCGACUCCGAGUGCUGACGCAGUCGGAGGGCUUGACCGGGGCCGACUUGCUGGCGGCCUUUGUGGUGCGCCGAGUCCUUCCUCUCCAAGGCCGUCCUCAUCUGAUCAGUCAGAUGAGCGACUAUCGCGACCCGAGUCGGAUGUGCACUAGGGACAUGCCCCACGCAGAGGUGGCGAACAUGGUGAACCACAUCACGAACUGCGAGCUCGCGGCGGAUUGGCAGUUCGGCAAAGAGCCGUACUCGCGCGCCAACCCCCCGCCUGUGGUAAGUCGUCUUUCUGGUUCCUCUGUUUUCUUUGCAGCCGAAUCCGACUUCUGAUCUUUUUUGGUUUCUUCGAGUCAGAACCCCCUCAUGCAGCCUUCGGCCGGCGCCACGGGACCGCCUCGUGAGUUCGUCCCCGACCGAGCGGAGAGCGACGACAACGACCCCGACUUGGGGGCGGCAGCGAUGGAGACCGACGCCGAAGGAGGAGGAGGAGGAGCGGGAGGCGGCUUCAGGCCCUCGACCACCUUCGCCGACUGGCCUGAAGACGACGCCGAGGGGGAAGUCGCCCCGCGCCACCAAUCGAAAGUCAGCCAUCCAGGCGCGAGUUCCUCCGCCGGCUUGGCGGGUCAAGUCGGCGCGAAGAAGCACCGGGCCGGGCCGAGUUCGCUCGGCGGCCGGUCGAAGAAGUUCAAGGGGGCGGCCGCCACGACCAAGCGGGAAGAGGCGGCCGCGAAGGCCAACCGCUUCCGCAAGGAAGUAAAAAGGCCGCCACUCGUCUCUGCGUAAGUGCUCCGUCUUCGACUUGCUUUCUUCUGUCGAACCUCGUCAUAAUUUCUUACAUGCCUUCUCCGCUUUAGGGCCCCCCUUUCCCUUGAGAGGGUCGCCGUCCCCUCCGUCAUGGGGUUGGCCGAGACGUCCGCCAAUACUCGGCGGAUUGACCCCGCCGCGGACCUCCGGGAGGCGACGGAGCGAAACGCGCGGGAGAAGCGCGACGAGGAGGAGGCCGACCGCCUGGAGAAGGCGGAGGCCGAGAAAGCGGCGGCCUCCGCCCAGAAGAAGCUGGAAGAGGCCGAAGCCGCCGUCGCAGCAAGAUGGCGGGCUGAGGAGACCGCGCACCGCCAAUCGGCGUUGCUCGUCAUCCUGCUGAGCUCCGCACCACUGCCCCCGGAGUUCACGGGGCAGACUGGAGAAGCCUGCGGGGAGAACCCCAUCAUGGAGAAGGACGGCGACGAAGCCUUCACGUCGGACACGGCCGCGCCGCCACCGCCGCCUCCGCCGCCGUCUGGGAGUGCGCAAGGUAAGCAGCCGGCGGGCCCGCCGGUGCCGCCGACUAAAGACGAGGCCAUGGCGAAGCUGCUCCUUCAGGUCGCCUCGCCAGCACGCCACCGCCUUGAGAAGGCGACUUCGAAGCCACGGCCCUUGGAGACCGGUGCCGCCAGCUCGGCCAUCCCAGACAUCGAGGGGACGAGCGCCACGCCCGUUGGGUGGGUGCGAGGAGGCGGCAACGGCCCGCUGAACCAGGCGCUCCUGGACGUCCAAGCGAAGCUGCGAGCUGAGGGCGACACCAUCCAGAGCUGCACCAAGGCACAUCUGGCAUCGCGAGCAGCUAUCCGGGUAUGCUUUCUUCUUUGACUUUGUUUUUUCUCGUUCUUCUCUGUGGGGGCGCGCCAGCGCACUCACUGGGUGUAGUCCCCGAGUUUCGGGCCGGCUACUGAGCAGGCGGCCCGGAACUCCAUCUGGCGAGUUCCUCAUAUUUAUCUUUGUCUAAAAUACUUGUUACAGGAGUAUCACAACCUCCGCGUCACUGCCUUCAACCGCAACGUUGAGCAGCUGGGGAAGCGGACUGCCGACUUGUCGGAGAGCCGGAGUGAGUCCUUCUUUUUCGCAGGGGCGCGCCGGUGCACCCGCGGGCUGUAGUCCCCGAGAUUCGGGCCGACUGCUGAGCAGCCGGGCCGGAUCUUCCCGGCGACCUUCUUUGUUGACGACUUAACAUCUUUUUCCUUUUGUUCUUCAGAGGCCAAUGCCGUUCUUCAGGAGCAGCUGGGCGAGGCCAACACUGCUUUGCAAGCCAAGGGGGAGGAGUGCAAUAAGCUUGCCAUAGAGCGCGACCUGCUGGCUGCGCAGCUGGCGAAGCAGAAGGAGCUACUUAAGAAGGCACAGGACGAGGCAGAGAAGAGAGAGACUGCUCUCCUGGCCGAGUUCGAAAGCGAGCGCUCCUCCUGGACCGACAAGGAGGCGAUGCUGACCUCCGGCUUCCUUGAGAUCGAAGACAUCAUCGACGGUGAGUUUCUUUGCUUUCUUUCUUUGAGCCGCUGACUGUAAGUUAGGCCGACUCCUGACUCUUUGUCUUGCUUCUUUUAUGUUUUGGCAGACUUCUUCCCUGGCCACUCGCAGGCGGUCACUCGAGCCAUCGAGGCUCAUCGCGAGGCGUGGAGGGAAAAUGGCGCGGAGAUCGCCGCCAACGCCCCCCUAACCAUCGACGAGCAGCUUCUGAGCAUCGAGACUCAUCUGCGGCCGGCCCAUCAGCUGCUGCGCCGGCUUCAACGUGCCGGUGCCCAGGCGAUUGCCGCCCUGUGGCCAGACAUGCCGGUUCUGCGCACUCCUAGUCGGACUGCCGACUGGCUGGAGGUCGCGGCUGGAAUUCGUCAAGGCUUGGUAUCCGGGGCUGGACCUGGACCGGCUAGCCACGUUCCGGUCAGAGGCCCAGGCAGAGCUGGUGGCUGUGGAAGGCGCCCUCGUCGAGCGUGCGGUGGCGAUUGCCGACUACACAGACACCAGCAUUUUCGUCCCUGAGCGGGCCGCAAACGGCGAGGAGGUGCCGCCGGAGUGGUUCGGGAUGAACCCAGACUACGACGAGGACUCAGCGGAGGUGAUCGGCUCCAGCGCCGAGGAGGAAGGCGAGGCGGAGGAUGGAGGCGAGACGGAGGCGCUAGAAGACGGAGCGGGCGACCAGCCUCAGCUCGACCGCGCCUCCAGCAACGAGCCGCGUCCGACCAAGCCGGCUGCCACCGGAGACGAUCAAGCCGAGACUGCCCAGCUGGCCGCCCCGGUGCCUGACACCGCCGUCUCCUCCGACCCUACGAACCCGUCUGCCGCUUCUUAGGGUGCCGUCUUGCCUUUAUUUUAUCUGCUUUAGUAGUCUUUGAAAAAACUUGUUAAGUUGCACAAUUCCACCCGCGGGGUGUAUUUUGAACUUGGCCAAGGGCCUAUGUUAUGUAAAUAUCUAUCCGAAUUCUAUCUUUCCUUGCUCAUCGCUCUUUUGGCUUUUUCCUUUGCCGCCUUCCCUCAGUCGCCGCCUUGCCAGACGGACAACCGCUCUGCGGACUGCCGCUGGGUCAAAUGCUUGGCUACCUUAGGGAAGGCAAGUACUUGGCCUUUUUUAGAGUCUUUUAACAAGUUGGAUAGAAGGUGGCAAGCCGACUACUCAAGAGUCGGCUUUGCGAAGAGAGGCUGGAAGCCGGCUUGAGCUACGUUUAUGCUUUGGGUCCUUAGCCAUUUUUCGUGUGGGUGCCCAUUCUUCCUUACUCACUGCCCACCAACAGUCGCUCUGCGAACUACGGCUUCUGACAGGAGACGGCUUAGGCACCGCACACUACUUGUCUGACUGCAGGAAGCAUUUCAUAGCGCAAGGCGGCGAGUCCCCGGGCCGACUAGUCGAACCCGGUGCCGAGUGGCAUAACAAAGAGUAACAUACUUGAAGGCAUAAUUCUUAUCAUACAGAUAACAAAAAGGCAAGUCCCCGAGCUCGUCUCGGGGGGCCCGAAGUCUUGGUACUUUAAUACAAAGGAUAGCGUGGUACAUACUGCAUCAACUGUAAAAUCUUCGGAGAAGAUUUGCAUUCCACGACCGUUCCGUCUCUUUGCCGGAGUCGUCCCUCUUGCGUGCUCGGGGCUUUUGAGUCAUUGCCCAGCACUUUGCUGAUGAUGAAAGGGCCUUCCCAAGGCGCUGACAGCUUGUGCUGGCCGGCUGUUCGCUGGAUCAGUCGGAGCACAAGGUUGCCCUCUUGGAAAGAUCUCGGCCUGACCUUCCAGUUGUACUAUCGGCGCAGGCUCUGCUGGUAGAUGCUGGACCGGCUGAGUGCCAACAGCCGGCCCUCUUCCAGCAGAUCGACGCCGUCUUGACGUGCUUCUUCUGCUUCCUCCUCGGUGUACAUGGUGACUCGCGGGGAGUCGAACUCUAUGUCCGUCGGGAUGACGGCUUCAGCACCGUAGACGAGGAAGAAAGGCGUGAAGCCGGUUGACUUGUUUGGAGUCGUGCGCAGACUCCAGAGGAUGGCUGGCAGCUCCUCAAGCCAACAGCCGGCCGAACGCUCAAGUGGUUCGACCAGUCGAGGCUUGAUGCCAGAUAGGAUGAGGCCGUUUGCUCGCUCUACUUGGCCGUUUGACUGCGGAUGGGCAACGGACACUAAGUCCAGUCGGAUGCCCUGCAUUGCGCAGAAACGGGCCAAGGCACCUUUGGCAAAAUUUGUGCCAUUGUCGGUGAUGAUGCUGUGUGGUAUGCCGUACCGAACCGUGAUGUUGGCGAUGAAAGUCACUGCAGUCGGACCAUUCAACUUCUUGAUGGGCUUUACUUCUAUCCACUUGGUGAACUUGUCCACCACGACAAGCAAGUGAGUUAGGUUGCCUCGGGCCGUCUUGAAUGGUCCCACCAUGUCCAGGCCCCAAACUGGGGAUAGUUUUGAGUGCGGAAGCCGACUGAAGCGGCUUGGAGCGGAACUUCUGACACCCCUUGCGUUUUUGGACUAACUCCUUGGCCUCCUCUAGGGCAGUUGGCCAGAAGAAACCAUGUCAGAAGGCUUUGGCGACGAGUGCUCUUGAGGCCGCAUCGUGGCCGCACUCGCCUUGAUGGAUUUCUUUGAGAAUUGCUUGGCCUUGUUCUGGUUCGACGCAACGCUGGUACACACCAGUGUCGCUGCGCCUGACCAGCUCUCUGUUGAUUAUGGUGUAGGCCGUCGCUCGGCGUUGCACUUGCCGAGCCAAGAUUUCGUCGGUUGGCAACUCUUUGCUUACUAGGAGCUUGAGGAUGGGCUGGGCCCACGAGGGUGCUGCUAUUUCUUCAAUUGCCACCAGUGCGACUUGGAUGAGGGCGGCUGGGCUGGGAGGCGGCGGGGUGGAGUCCGCGGCCGCUUGUUGGAUCGCUGAAGUCCCGGAGCCGACUGGCACAGUCCCUGGGCCGACUGGCGCAGUCCCCGGGACGAGCUCUGGAGUCUUCGGACUGGUUGCCGCAGUCUCCGGGCCGGGUUCUGAAGUCCCCGGGCCGGCUUCGACUGCGGUUUUCUUGGAGCCGUCUGUAAGAAUUCUCGUGUCGUCUGUUGGGGCUCUUGAGUCGGAUCCGACUUCUUAGGGAGGAGUCGGCACAAAGAUGGAGUCUGAUUCUGGUGAAGGCUUGAUAGAUGGCUUGAGGAGGCGCUGAAGAGCGACGCCGGAUGGUAUCGCUUGGCGGGUGGAGCCGACCCGUGCCAAGGCGUCUGCUUGGUCGUUGUCAUUUCUUGGCACGUGAAGGAACUCGCACCCCUCGAAGUAUCCGCUGAGUUGCUGCACCAGGAAGCGGUAGCUCGCCAUGUUUGCAUCUUUGGCGUCCCAGUCGCCAGACGACUGCUGGACCACCAAAUCGGAGUCGCCAUAACACAGGAUCCGACAAAUGCCGAGUUAUUUGGCAAGCCGGAGCCCGUGAAUGAGCGCCUCAUAUUCGGCGAUGUUGUUGGAGGCGGCGAAGUGGAUCUGCAGCGCAUACUUGAGCUUGUCACCUUUAGGGGAGGUGAGGACGACGCCGGCUCCCAAGCCGGUGCGCAUCUUGGAGCCGUCGAAAUGCAUCCGCCAAUGGGUGGAGUCGGGCGCUAGUGGCAGGUACUGGGUCUCGGCCCAGUCGACGAGGAAGUCGGCCAGUGCUUGCGACUUGAUGGCGGUGCGGGGCUGGUAGUAGAUGGUGUAGGGAGCCAACUCUAUGGCCCAUUUGGCCACUCGACCAGAAGCAUCUCGGCUCCCGAGGAUCUCGGCCAGCGGGGCUAUGCAAACCAUAGUGAUUGGAUGCUCUUGAAAGUAAGGCUUCAACUUCUUGGCGGCAAAGUGCACGCCGUAGCACAUCUUCUGGUAGUGGGGGUAGUUCUUCUUGGAGGUCGACAGUACCUCGCUCAGGUAAUACACCAGUCUCUGGACAGGUAGCGCCUUGCCUUCCUCCUUGCGCUCCACUACAAUGACUGUGCUGACUACCCGGCUGGUGGCGGCGAUGUGUAGGAGCAUGGGCUCUUUAGGAGUCGGCACCGCCAGCACAGGGGGAGUAGUCAACAUCUUCUUCAGUACAUCAAGUAGUCGGCUGGGUACCUCCAUCCUCUCGAUGGCCUUGAUCUUCACAGGGUUGCACUCUAUGCCGCGUUCGGAGACCAGGAAGCCAAGGAGUUGGCCGGCUGGUACUCCAAAGAUGCACUUCUCAGGGUUCUCAAAGGUUUCUUUGAGGUCUUCCAUCAAUGUCCCAUGCUUUUCCCUCUUCACCACUACAUCAUCCACGUAGACGUGGGUGUUUCUGCCGAGUUGCUUGAGGAGGCACUUCUGCAUGCAAUGCUGAAAGGUGGCGCCGGCAUUCCUCAAGCCGAAUGUCAUGGUCAGGUAGCAGAAGGCUCCAAACGGCGUGAUGAAGGCAGUCUUCAGUCUGUCUGCCGGGUUCAGCUUGAUCUGGUGAUAUCCUGAAUAUGCAUCUAAGAAGCUCAAUAGCUCGCAUCCAGCUGUGGAGUCUAUCACUUGAUCAAUUCUCGGCAGAGCAAACGGGUCCUUGGGGCAGGCUUUGUUGAGGCUUGUGUAGUCAAUGCACAUCCGCCGCUGCUUGUUCUUCUUCAGCACCAGGACCGGGUAGCUAACCAUUCUGGAAAAAACACCUCCAUAAUGAAGUCGGCUGCCAGGAGCCGGGCUAUCUCUUCUCCAACAACUCUUCUCUUCUCUUCUGACAGGCGGCACAAGGGCUGCCUGACGGGCUUCACAUCAGAUCGGACAUGUAACUUGUGCUCGGCGAAUUCCGUCGGUACACCUGGCAUGUCUUUAGGGGACCAUGCGAAGAUGUCUCGAUUCUCACCGAGGAAAUCGACGAGCUCGCCUUCCUAUUUGCUGUCAAGGUUUGCACCUAUGACAGCGUACCUCUUUGGGUGCUCCGAGUCCAAGGGUAUCUUCUUCGUCUCUUUGGCCGGCUUGAACGAGCCCUCAGCUUCCGACUCCUUGGGGUCGGGCGACAUCUCCGGUUGCUUGCCGGCCAUCGCCACAACCCGAUCAAGAAGCCGCUUCUCAGCUGCGAUCACCAGGGACUUAGCCAGCCGACUGCUCUCAGCUGUGCAAGCGGACGACUUUCUGUAGUCGCCGGCUAUGGUCAGAAUCCCCUUGGAACCGCCAUGAACUUGGCCAAAGCAGGUCGGCCAAGCAACGCAUGGUAUGGACUUUCGAGGUCCACCACCUCAAACCAAACUGGCUCUCGGCGGAAAUGAUCUUUGUCUCUGAAGAGCACGUCUAUCAGGAUCUUGCCGAUUGGUGAGCAAGAAAGGCCAGGUACAAUGCCGUGGAACACAUUCCGGCUAUUUUGAAGCUGUCUUUGCUUGAUUCCUAACUUCUCCAUGGUAUCUUUGUACAGGAUGUUGAUGCUACUGCCUCCGCCUAUCAGUACUUGCGAGAAGCGAGCGGCCCGCCUAUCUGUGGCCAGGGUGGCACUCAAAACCAGGGCGUAGGAGCCCGGAUUCGGCAUCACCUCUGGGUGAUCAGCUCUGCUCCAACUGAUAGGCUUCUCGGACCAAUGCAUAAACUCUGGAGUAUCUGAUGCUACUGCAUUUACUUCUUGCUGCUGCAGCCGCCUGCUGCGUCGAUCAUCAGCCACACUGGUGAACACCACAUAGGCUCCAUGCUCUUCUGGGUACUCAUCUCGUACUGCGCCGACUGGCCGGGCAGCCGGCUGCUGGGGCGGCGGUGGAGGCGGCGGCCCAGCAGGCGGGGGAGGAAGGAGGCCGUCUCCCUGGGCGAUUCUGGUGAGCCAGUAGCACUUUCGGGUGGUAUGGUUUGACGGCUUCGCGCCGCUGUGGAACUUGCAGGGACCAUCUAGAGUCAGCUCGUAAGAGAAGGCUGGCAACGAGUUGGACUUGCCGCCUUUCUGUCGCUUGGUCGGAGGCUGCCCCUUCGGCUGCUGGUCUUUGACUGUCGCCACCUGCCGACUGCUGGAAGUCGGCUGUGAGGCCUUGCGCUUGUUAUCGUUCUGUUGUUGCUGCCUACUGGUGUCUCCAGCCGGAGUUCUGGGAGCCUGAGGGGCCACUUUGCCAGUCGCAUUAACUUGAAUCUCCGUCUUCAUGGAGGAGUCGGUUGUGGCGUACUUGUCUGCUAUGAUCAGCAGCUCGUCGAGGGUCUCCGGCUCAUCGCAGAGGAGCCUGUGCUUGAGGAGUGUGCCUUCUUUGCACUCGGCGGUGAAGUAUUCGAUAGCCUGCACCUCGUGCACGCCCUCGCAGGAGUUCCGAAGCUCAGCCCAGCGCGUGAGGUAGUCGCGUGUUGACUCGUCGGGGCCUUGCACGCACAAGGAAAGCUGGCAAGGUUUGGGAGGUCGCUUGUACGUGCUCGUGAAGUUGUGUAUGAAGGCCUCGGUGAAGUCGACCCAGCUGUUGAUGCUGCGGGGCUUCAGACUGUUCAACCAUGUCCGGGCCGUGCCCUGGAGCAUGAGUGGAACAUAUGUGUUGCCGUUCGCUAUGUUGACGGCUGUGGAGUAAUCAACUAGCCAGUCCUCCGGCUUCACGGAGCCGGUGUACUUGGGCGUGUCUCGGGGGAGCGUGAACCCUUUGGGAAAGGGCUCGUCUCGGGUGCGGGGACCGAAACAGGGCAGACACAACUCGGCUUCUUCUUCCAGCGCCAGGGAUCGAUGGAGUCGGUCGAUCCGGUGGCGGGCGUCAUUCUCUCCGACUCCCUCUCGGCGGCCAAGGCGGCCACCGAGAGUCGGAUGCUCAACGGGUGGCGGGGAGACUCGCCUUUCUCUUCGUGGUGGAGGAGGCAAAUAGUCGCCCUGCCGUUCCACUGCUCUCGGGCGGCCGUCUUGGUCACGCUCGAUGGUGAUGCGAGUCCGACUGUGGCUGACAGCCGGCUCUUUGUCUUUUCUUCUACGGACUCCGCCAGUCGGCAUCCGAGACGUCGCGCCCUGAUCUCGGCGGGGAGGCAGGUCGUCAUUUGGUUGCUGUGGCGCCUCUGUGCGGCCGCCGGCUGCAUUCUGCGCGGCAGCCGCGUCGAGGAGCUGCUGGACUCGCUCCGUCAUCAGGCGGCGCUCUUCGCCUUCGAAGUUUUUCAGCUCGUCAGUCGCCGCCUGGGCAGCGCGGAUGUUCUCCGCAGGCGUGGCGUACACGGGGCGAUUGGCCCCGAACAGGUUGGCAAUGGCCACGCCGCGCUGCUGGACCGCGCCUAGGCGACUAGGCCCAGUCGGAGCUGGCGAGUCGCCCACAGCGCGAUCCAUGUCGCGCUGGUAGGCUUCUGACAAGCGCCUCAUGCUUGCCAGCUUCUUCGCGCCUUCGAUGAUCUGAAGGCGGCGCGCCUCCAGCGUCUCGGCGUCAGCGUCCUCCGGAAUAGGCGCGGUCAGGUCCCGUAGAGCUGCAUCGAGUGGGUCAUGAGCUCCCUCGCCGGAGCGCUCGCCAUGACUAAUGACGAGCACCUCCGUGACGGUGCUUCCGCCGCUCUCCUUGUGAGGGAGCGGCUCGUCGUAGACCACCACAUUGGUGGGGAACGCGUCGAGCGGCGCGGCGUCGGAGUCGACCAGCAUCGGGUCGGUGGAGCCUACGGACUCCAAGUCGACAGCAGGCUCGCCGGUGACGUGGAGUUGGUCGAGGAGGCCCGCGAGGAGGCUCUCAGGGCCGCCCGUGCCUGCGUCGGACGCAUGCUCGUCGGAGAGGCGAACCUCGCCGACAAGUUCGGCGAGGCAGCUGGCUGCGCAGGCGGCCUCAGCGCCGCGCAGCGCGUCGAUGCAGACUCCGUCUGGCGAGCCUGGCUGGCUGUGCUCGCCAGGGAGGAAAAGGGUUCCCGUCCAGAACAGAUCUCCGGAUGACGGUGCACCUCGCCCCACGGUGGGCGCCAAAUGUCGGGGGUUGGGUGCGACAUAUGCCAAAGGAUGGCUUAUCAUGGUGGGGGCGAGUAGAACGUCGCCGGUGCCUGGAAACGGGAUGAGGCGAAGACAUGCACGCCGGCGGAUCUUACCCAGCUUCAGGGCUCUCCGAGGAGAUAACACCCCUACUGCUGCUCUACGGGGUCUCCGCAUGGUCACUAAGGCAAAGUGAGUACAAGGGUGCUCCUUGAGCUAUUACUGGAGGUAGGAGAAGGCAAGGCUAGCUCUCUCCUUCCUAUGUGAUCUGGUCUAGUGCUAAUGGAUUCGAACCCUUUGCAUGGGUGCCCUGGGGGGGGGAUUAUAUAGGCCUACCCCCCAGGGGUACAAUGGUAAAUCCGGCUGGACGCGGGUCCUAGCCGUCAGUCUCUCAGGCCGCCGUCUUCUCCGUCGACUGCUGGGGCCCGCCGACUAGUGGGUCUCGCCGACUUGCCUGGUACGGAGCCGACAGCCCUUUUCUGCCGCGGGCGGGUCUUGCCGGCUGCGGAUUACUGUAGCCGCGCUUCUAAUGAUGAUGGCUUGGUCAUGGGGUCAUGGCAGCAGUGCCGCCGCCCGACGGGCGAUCACUGUUGCCAUUCCCCGUCGCGUCUGGUUAAUGGCAUGGGGGGUCGUGGGAGAGGCCAGCCGACUCCGGGGAGCCGACUCCCAAUGGGUCCGUCUUCUGGUGCUAUCACCGUCUUCUGCACUCCCGCUGACCGGCGGGACCCGCCGUCUCUGGGUCGUACAGACAGGCCGUCGUGGGUACAGGGCUCCGCCCGCAGGGGCUGAUGUCAGGGCUGGCAUGGCAACAGUGCCGCGCCGGACGGAGAUCUCCGUCGGUACGGCACACUGUGGCCAUGCUUGCCCUCGAUAAACGGGGCGGGAACGAGCCGCGCGGCAGCCGUUCCCCAUCCCGUCCAUUAUUGCGAAGGUACGGGGUGGUUGGAGUCGCGGGCCGACUCCCCAUAGCCGACUUCUCUGGAAGUCGCAGGCCAGGAGUCGGCUUAACUUGGAGUCGCCUCUGGGACUUGGCUUAUCUUGGAGUCGCCUCUGGACUCGGCUUAACUUGGAGUCGCCUCUGGGACUCGGCUUAUCUUGGAGUCAGCUCUGGACUUGGCUUAUCUUGGAGUCGCCUCUGGGACUCGGCUUAUCUUGGAGUCGCCUCUGGGACUCGGCUUAUCUUGGAGUCGCCUCUGGGACUCGAGGGGCGCAGCCUGCCCCGAUGUCUUGAAAGGUUCUGGGACUCGAGUUAGCCUACCUGUGGCCCAUUACUCCGACACGCACCAGAUACAGGUAUGCCACUAUUGGCCAUAUUACUAAUGGCGCACCUAGUGUGUGAUGUGCCAUUACUAGUUUUGAAAAAAAGAUAAAAAAAUUGUUAGCAGUGGCGCACCAGGGGAAGUUGCGCCAUUACUAGUUAACUAGUAAUGGCGCACUAUCCACUGGUGCGCCACUACUAACAUGUUAUUUUUUUUCAAAACUAGUAAUGGCGCACCACACACCAGGUGCGCCAUUACUAACUUUCUGAGGUGGCCAAAAAAUUGACCAAAUGCACCCCCCUGUGGACCGUCUUUUUUGUUUAAAAUAAAAUAAAAUAAAAUGAUAGAAAUGUCAAAAAAUAAAAGAAAAUAAGAUUCCCAUGUGAUAUGUGGUCUAGUUGUUAGCAAAAUUGAAUUUUCGGCUUUUUUGCAAAAUCUCUCGAGAAUUUGUAAAAUGGGCAUAAAUUUUGCAUACGAACUCCGAUGAAAAAGUUUUUUAUAUGAAAAACCAUCUACUCGAAAAGUUAUAUCCGAAUUCAACUGGGGGAACCCCGUUGACGAUUUUUAGAAUCCUUAAAAACCUAACAGAAAAAAAGUUACGGGGCUUUCAAGAUCUGGAGAGGCAAAAUAAUUCAAAAAAUCAAACCCAGUAAUGGCGCACCUGCCAUGGUGUGCCAUUACUAUCUUCCCACCUUCAAAAUUCAAACUAUAUCAAAAAAUAAAAAAAAUUAGUAAUGGCGCACCUGCCCAAGGUGCGCCAUUACUAUCUUCCCGCCUUCAAAAUUCAAAAUAAAUCAAAAAAUAAAAAAAGUUAGUAAUGGCGCACCUGCCCAUGGUGCGCCAUUACUAUGCCGUAUAUAUGGCUGGGCGGGGUCCUCUCCUCCUUACCUCUUCAUUUCUCUCCUCCACUCCACCUCUCCUCCACUCCAUCUUCUCCUCUCCUCCACUCCAUCUCCCCUCCUCCUCUCCGGCGCCCUCCUCCUCCUCCACCUCCUCCUCUCCCGUGACUUCCUCCUCCCUCCUCNNNNNNNNNNNNNNNNNNNNNNNNNNNNNNNNNNNNNNNNNNNNNNNNNNNNNNNNNNNNNNNNNNNNNNNNNNNNNNNNNNNNNNNNNNNNNNNNNNNNNNNNNNNNNNNNNNNNNNNNNNNNNNNNNNNNNNNNNNNNNNNNNNNNNNNNNNNNNNNNNNNNNNNNNNNNNNNNNNNNNNNNNNNNNNNNNNNNNNNNNNNNNNNNNNNNNNNNNNNNNNNNNNNNNNNNNNNNNNNNNNNNNNNNNNNNNNNNNNNNNNNNNNNNNNNNNNNNNNNNNNNNNNNNNCGACCUCCUCGUCCUCUCCGGCGAUGUAGGUGAGCUCCUCUUCGGUGACCUCCUCCUCCUCCUCUCCGACGAUGUAGGCGAGCUCCUCUCCGGUAACCUCCUCCUCCUCCCUCCUCUCCUCCUCACAGUCUCUCCUCGGCCCUCCUCUCCGGCGAACUCCUCUUCGGCAAAAGAACAUACAAGAUCUAAAAACGAGAACAAAAUUUGAAAAAAUAUCAUGCAAAAAAACGAGCAAAAAAAAGGGCAACAAAAUCACGAUCCAGAUCCAGAUUCAAAAUUCAAAAUAGUAAUGGUGCACCAUGGGGGUUAGAAUAUGCGCCAUUACUAUUUUCCCGCUUCCAAAUUCAAAAAAAAAUCGACAAAAAGUAAUAAAAAAAGUUACCAGUGGCGCACCUGAAAAGGUAGUAAUGGCGCACUACCAGGUGCGCCACUAUUAUCUGGUAUACUAAUGGCACACCAGAGGUGCGCCAUUAGUACUUGUUACUAGUGGCGUGGUGAUAGUGGCGCAACUAUAGUGCGCCAUUAAUGGCAAAAAUAGGUGCGCCACUAACAGGACUUUUCCUAGUAGUGUGGGUUGCAGAUCAAAUUAUGUUAUUUGCACCAAAAAUUCAUAAAUAUUCAGAAAAAAUCCUAUUAAAUUUUCAGAGCAUUUUGAGAACUUUUAUUUUUGGGUCAAUUUUUUUAUUGCAAGGGAAAUUCAGAAAACAAACAAAACAUGGCAUUUUAUUUUAUUUAACUAAUAAAAACAGGAAAAAGGUAGGGACAGAAGGUAGUGCUCACUAAAUUCAUCAACUUCAUACCUAUCAAAAAUGAUUCAUUAGUAAGGUUGAUCAAGUCUUAUUAACAACCAUUUUCGAUUAGCAUGAAACUGAAGAACUUUUGUAAAUCACUAAGUUACCUCAACGGGGAUAUGAAUGUCCCCAACAAUAAGCAUUUCAUAUUUCUUUUUAACAGUAGGUAGAGGUAGCUGAAAACUUCCAAUAGUGAUUGUCGGAGAUUUUUCAAAAACAUUGAUACCAUUCACUUGGAAUUGUUUCUUCGAGAAGUGCACCAUAUGCUCAUUACCAUUGAUAUGAAAAGUGACCUUGCUUUUAUUGCAAUCAAUAACGGCCCCUGUAGUAUUCAAGAAGGGUCUACCGAGGAUGAUCGACAUGUUGUCGUCCUUGGGCAUGUCAAGUAUAACAAAAUCAGUCAAAAUAGUAACAUUAGCAACAACAACGGGCACAUACUCACAAAUACCAAUAGGUAUGGUAGUUGAUUUGUCAGCCAUUUGCAAAGAUAUUUCAGUAGGCGUGAGUUUAUUCAAAUCAAGUCUUUUAUAUAAAGAGAAAGGCAUAACACUGUCAGCAUUCUGGGAACCAGGGUACCCAGACCUGCCUGCCUGCGGCCCACAGCGUGGCUCCAUCGAUGGCCUGGUACGGCCCAUCUACAACCACGACAAGACAAGACCCUCGCGAGGGGCCAAGCCUCACGAGGGGGGUGACAUCAAGACCUCCUGAGGGAGUGGCCUCCUUAGGUGGCCUUCGGGACAGAGCAGAGAUUUCUAUGCAAGACCCUACCUCACGAGGCUGAAAUGACAUCAGCCAUGAUGACUAAGGCCAGGCGUGCGCCAGCGGGCGCAGAGCAGCAGGUUUCCUCUUUGGUGCAAAGGAGGCGAGCGUAGGUCGGGAUUUCCAAGGAAUCAGCAAAAGGUUGCCAUUUGCAUGCAACAAGACUAGGACCGCCAGAACGGCAGGGUGGAUGUCAUCGCCGAGCCCACCACAACGUCACGAUAAGAAGCACCUUUCGUCAGGAUCAGAUGUACUUCUUAUACCCUUUCAAAUUUGCCAUUGUGGGAUCCCUUCCCGCCAAAGUUUUGGAGGAAGAGGACCAAGGCCACUAUAAAUAUAACCUAACCAUCGUAGAAGGCGGCGGGUGAUUAGCUCAUCGAAUCCCCAAGAGAUCAUCACAAGAACAAGCCUUCCAAGGCUGUUCUUCCACUUGUACUAGUUCAUCUUCAGUCCCUCACGAGGCUAAUCCACCACAAAGCAGGAGUAGGAUAUUACACCGCAAGGUGGCCUGAACCUGGGUAAACUGUCGUGUCUUUCUCCUCCUUGUUCAUCGAGCUAGGUCGUGAGAGCAGCAGAUCGAUCGGCUUGAGAGGUUGAGUUCUUCGCACAUGCCCCUGAGUUCGAACCUUUCUUGGGUCCGCGGAGCCCGGAAUCUAACAUUUGGCGUGCAAGGUAGGGGGCGUGUCAGAGGUCGGCAUCUUCAUCAACCACGCUCCGCUCUCACCACUCGAUAUCCAUGGCGGGAACAGCUCCUUCCGCUCAUCCACCGGGAACGUUCAGAGGCGUCAUGGGUUUCCGGGCCUUUCCCCCCGCCUUGCGACAUGUGCGGUGGCCUCCGAAGUUCAGGCCAGAGCUGCCGCCGUGCUACGACGAUGCGAUGGACCCUGUGGGGUUUCUGCAGGUGUACGAGGAAGCCAUCUGGGCGGCGGGCGGAGACGACAAGGCCAUGGCAAAUUGGCUCCCUAUGGCACUCGUUGGCAUGCCUCUCACCUGGUUGCUCAACUUGCUGGAGUCCUCGGUGGCUUCAUGGAAGGAGCUACGUGAGUUAUUCAACAUACGCUUUGCGGUUCCGACACACCAUGCCGUUGCGUCCAUCCUCGGCGGGUCACAGGUGCCAGCUUCAAAUCGCCACCCCAAGCAGUUCUUCUGUCAGAUGGGGGCUCCUUCGUCCCUGUGAGGGGCCCCUCCGGGCUGGGCGGCGCCCCAGGAAGACCUCACCUUCGACUCCAGAGAUCACCCCAAGACCACGGCUGGUUCCAGUGCACUACCCAUGCUCUGCACCCCCACCAUCUGCAACAUAGCGGUUAGCAGGACUCUCAUCGAUGGCAGCGCCGGCCUGAACGUCCUCUCGGUGGAGGCGUUCGGCCUGCUUCAUGUGCCUCACGACCGACUCCUUCCCACCAAGCCGUUCUCUAGAGUGGUCAGUGGCUCCACCUGCCUCGUGGGGCAGAUUCACCUCCCCGUCACCUUCGGAACGUGCGACAACUACCGCACCGAGCUCAACGACUUUGAUGUCGUGUGCAUCGGGCUCCCGUACAACGCCAUCCUCAGUUACCCGGCCCUCACCAAGUUCAUGGCGGGGACUCACCCCGGCUACAACAUCAUGAAUAUGCCGGGAAGCAGCGGCGUCCUCACCAUGGCGGGAGACAUCGGGGAUGCACUGACAGCCCUCAGGCUCACCUUCAAGGCUAUGGCGGAUACACGACCAAGUGCGGAGAGUGCUCCGGAGGGCCCGGGGGCUGCGCCGGCAAAGAAGAAGCCGUUGUUCUCUCAAGACCGGGCUCAAAUGAAGCAAGUACCGAUCGACGAGGGCGCGGAGUUAGGAGCUACCUUCAGCAUAGGCGCAGGCCUCCCCCGAGCCCAAGAGGAGGUGCUGGUCAGCUUCCUCCAUGCGAACAAGGAUAUAUUUGCCUGGCAAGCAACAGACAUGGUAGGAAUCCCUCGGGGGGUGAUCGAACACCACCUCAUGGUGUGCCUCCACGCGAGCCCAUGAAACAGAAGGCGCAGCAGCAAGCCCCGGAGAAGCAGUCGUUCAUCAUCCAGGAGACCCACAAGCUACAGGAGGCCGGCAUUACCCGGGAAGUGCGGCACCCAGAGUGGUUGGCAAACCCAGUCAUCAUCCCCAAGAAGGGCGGGAAACAACACAUCUGCGUUGACUUCACGAGCCUAAACAAAGCUUGCCCUCAGGAUCCAUUCUCUCUUCCUCACAUUGACUAGAUCGUUGACUCCACUGCCGAGUGCAAUCUACUAUGCUUCUUGGACGCCUUCUCAGGCUAUCAUCAAAUCAAGAUAGUGGUAGAAGAUGUAGAGAAGACGACCUUCCUGACAUCGUGUGGGGUGUAUUGCUACACCUGCAAGCCGUUUGGGUUGCACAAUGCUGGAGCAACCUUCCAGCGGUUGAUGCACAUCGCUUUGGGAAAGCAGCUUGGAAGGCAAGAACCCUUGUUGGAUAUCUUGAGGAGACAUUCAUCAACCUGCGUGAGGUGAAGCUGCGGCUUAAUCCUGAGAAGUGCAUAUUCGGUGUCCCGUCUGGCAAGUUGUUGGGGUUCCUGGUGUCGCACAGAGGAAUUGAGGCCAACCCGGAGAAGGUCAAUGCAAUAGAAAGGAUGAGCCCGACUAAAACUCUCAAGGAAAUGCAGAAGUUGGCAGGCUGUGUUACCUCGCUUGGGCGCUUCAUCUCCAAGCUAGGCGAGCGCGCCCUCCCUUUCUUCAAGCUGAUGAAGAGGAAGAGCUUGUUCGAAUGGACUCCAGAAGCCAACGCAGCUUUUCAAUACCUCAAGAAGUACCUCACCAGCCUACCGGUGAUGGUGGUGCCUCGUCCUCUCAAGCCCCUAGUGCUUUACCUGGCCGCCACGCUUCGCUCAGCCAGCGCGGCGCUAGUGGCAGUCCACGAGGAGCAUGCAACCAAGGGUGCACAGCGGGGAACCACACACGCAUUCAAUAAGCCACGACCUCAGGACGGUGCACCUGAGGCCGCUGCCGAACCAUCAGGAGAUGGCCCCCCUGAGGUGGCGGCCCCUGAAGCUCGAGUGCCCCCCUGAGGACGGGCUUCCUGAGGCUCCAUCAUCCCAAGAGUAGCAAGACUCGGCGGACACCUCCUCCCAAGUCGAGCACCCCGUCUACUUCGUCAGCACCAUGCUGCGUGACGGGCGGGCAUGCUACCUGAUGACCCACAAGUAUAGGGGAUCUAUCGUACUCCUUUCGAUAAGUAAGAGUGUCGAACCCAAUGAGGAGCAGAAGGAAAUGAUAAGCGGUUUUCAGUAAGGUAUUCUCUGCAAGCAUUGAAAUUGUAGGUAACAGAUAAUUUUGUGAUAAGAUAAUUUGUAACGGAUAACAAGCAACGAAAGAAAUAAGGUGCAGCAAGGUGGCCCAAUCCUUUUUGUAGCAAAGGAUAAGCCUCGACAAGUUCUUAUAAUGAGAAAAGCACUCCCGAGGACACAUGGGAAUUAUCGUCAAGCUAGUUUUCAUCACGCUCAUAUGAUUCGCGUUCGUUACUUUGAUAAUUUGAUAUGUGGGUGGACCGGUGCUUGGGUACUGCCCUUUCUUGGACAAGCAUCCCACUUAUGAUUAACCCCUAUCGCAAGCAUCCGCAACUACAAAAGGAGUAUUAAGGUAAACCUAACCAUAGCAUGAAACAUAUGGAUCCAAAUCAGCCCCUUACGAAGCAACUUAUAAACUAGGGUUUAAGCUUCUGUCACUCUAGCAACCCAUCAUCUACUUAUUACUUCCCAAUGCCUUCCUCUAGGCCCAAAUAAUGGUGAAGUGUCAUGUAGUCGACGUUCACAUAACACCACUAGAGGAAAGACAACAUACAUCUCAUCAAAAUAUAGAACGAAUACCAAAUUCACAUGACUACUAAUAGCAAGACUUCACCCAUGUCCUCAGGAACAAACGUAACUACUCACAAAGCAUAUUCAUGUUCAUAAUUAGAGAGGUAUAAAUAUGCAUUAAGGAUCUGAACAUAUGAUCUUCCACCAAAUAAACCAACUAGCAUCAACUACCAGGAGUAAUCAACACUACUAGCAACCCACAGGUACCAAUAUGAGGUUUGGGUACAAAGAUUGGAUACAAGAGAUGAACUAGGGUUUGAGAGGAGAUGGUGCUGGUGAAGAUGUUGAUGGAGAUUGACCCCCUCCCGAUGAGAGGAUCGUGGUGAUGACGAUGGUGAUGAUUUCCCCCUCCCGGGGGGAAGUUUCCCCGGCAGAACGGCUCCGCUGGAGCCCUAGAUUGGUUCCGCCAAGGUUCCGCCUCGUGGCGGCAGAGUUUCAUCCCGUAAGCUUGCUUAUGAUUUUUUUCAGGGUAAAAGACUUCAUAUAGCAGAAGAUGGGCACCGGAAGGCCACAAGGGGGCCCAUGAGGCAGGGGGCGCACCUGUAAGGGUGGGCGCGCCCCCACCCUUGUGGCCAGGGUGUGGGCCCCCUCUGGUACUUCUUUUGCUCAAUAAUUAUCAUUAAUUCCAAAAAUGACUUUCGUGGAGUUUUAGGACUUUUGGAGCUGUGCAGAAUAGGUCUCCAAAAUUUGCUCCUUUUCCAUCCCAGAAUCCCAGCUGCCGGCAUUCUCCCUCUUCAUGUUAAACCUUGUAAAAUAACAGAGAAUAGCCAUAAGUAUUGUGACAUAACGUGUAAUAACAGCCCAUAAUGCAAUAAAUAUCAAUAUAAAAGCAUGAUGCAAAAUGGACGUAUCAACUCCCCCAAGCUUAGACCUCGCUUGUCCUCAAGCGGAAGCUGAUAUCGAAAAAUAUGUCCACAUGUUAGAGAUAGAGGUGUCGAUAAAAAUAAAAUACGGACAUGAGGGCAUCAUGAUCAUUCUUAUAACAACAACAUAAAUAUAUUUUGUCAUAUGAUUUCUUAUGCUCAAGUAACAAUCUAUUCACAAUGUCAAGUAUGGUUCACGAACUUCAUUGAGAACUAACAAACUAUAAUCUCAGUCAUUGAAACAAUUCCAAUUUAUCAUAACAUCGAAAAGAUUCAAGAAUAGAGCUUUUCAGCAAAUCCACAUACUCAACUAUCAUUUAGUCUUCUACAAUUGCUAACACUGACCCAAUACUUAUGGUUCUGGAUUUUUAGUCGGACACAGAGAAAGAUAGGGGCUUAUAGUUUUGCCUCCCAACGUUUUACCUCAAGGGUAAUGUCAACAAUAAUAUUUCAUGCUAACUUACAUCCAAUUGGAUAUAUAUAUAUAUCAGGAUCUUUCCAACACGAGGUGCUUGUCAAAGGAUAAAAUAAAAAGGGAAAGGUGAAGAUCACCUUGACUCUUGCAUAAUGUAAAAGACAUAAAGUAAAAGAUAGGCCCUUCGGAGAGGGAAGCAGAGGUUGUCAUGUGCUUUUUGGGUGGAUGCACAAAAUCUUAAUGCAAAAGAAAGUCACUUUAUAUUGCCACUUGUGAUAUGAACCUUUAUUAUGCAGUCCGUUGCUUUUAUUACUUUCAUAUCACACGAUCGUAUAAAGCUUAUUCUCUCCGCACUAAUAAGUCAUACAUAUUUAGAGAGCAAUUUUUAUUGCUUGCAACAUGACAACUUACUUGAAGGAUCUUACUCAAUCCAUAGGUAGGUAUGGUGGACUCUCAUGGCAAAAACUGGGUUUAAGGAUAUUUGGAAGCACAAGUAGUAUCUCUACUUGGUGCAAGGAAUUUGUCUAGCAUUAGGGGGAAAGGCAAGCUCAACAUGUUUGAAUGAUCCAUGACAAUAUACUUUAAUUGAAAUGUGAGAAAACAUAACCCAUUACGUUGUCUUCCUUGUCCAACAUCAACUCUUUAGCAUGUCAUAGUUUAAUGAGUGCUCACAAUCAUAAAAGAUGUCCAAGACAGUAUAUUUAUAUGUGAGAACCUCUCUUUCUUU
Molecule: long non-coding RNA, 30270 nt
Filed under: Triticum aestivum (bread wheat)
Lineage: Eukaryota; Viridiplantae; Streptophyta; Magnoliopsida; Poales; Poaceae
Description: long non-coding RNA (TAES_LNC003365)
Source: RNAcentral